UACGAAGGGGGCUAGCGUUGCUCGGAAUCACUGGGCGUAAAGGGUGCGUAGGCGGGUCUUUAAGUCAGGGGUGAAAUCCUGGAGCUCAACUCCAGAACUGCCUUUGAUACUGAGGAUCUUGAGUUCGGGAGAGGUGAGUGGAACUGCGAGUGUAGAGGUGAAAUUCGUAGAUAUUCGCAAGAACACCAGUGGCGAAGGCGGCUCACUGGCCCGGUACUGACGCUGAGGUGCGAAAAGCGUGGGGGAGCAAACAGG
Molecule: ribosomal RNA, 255 nt
Filed under: uncultured bacterium
Lineage: Bacteria
Description: partial 16S ribosomal RNA
Rfam family: Bacterial small subunit ribosomal RNA
Source: RNAcentral